Molecule: ribosomal RNA, 253 nt
Filed under: uncultured bacterium
Lineage: Bacteria
Description: partial 16S ribosomal RNA
Rfam family: Bacterial small subunit ribosomal RNA
Source: RNAcentral
UACGGAGGGGGCGAGCGUUAUUCGGAAUUAUUGGGCGUAAAGGGCGCGUAGGCGGCUGUACAAGUCAAAGGUGAAAUCCCUCGGCUCAACUGAGGAACUGCCUUUGAAACUGUACGGCUUGAGGCCGGGAGGGGGUAGCGGAAUUCCCAGUGUAGCGGUGAAAUGCGUAGAUAUCUGGAGGAACACCGGUGGCGAAGGCGGCAUCCUGGACCAACACUGACGCUGAGGAGCGAAAGCCAGGGGAGCAAACGGG